AAUCCUAUGAUGAGGACACUUAUAAAGUAAUUCCUUGAAUCUUUCCUACGCUUCGUACAAUGAUUUGUCAUCCAAUUGUGAAAAAGUGGUUAUCUCAUUUUGCAACU
Gossypium arboreum is the source of this 107-nucleotide non-coding RNA. The record is from Rfam. NCBI's taxonomy places the organism in Eukaryota, Viridiplantae, Streptophyta, Magnoliopsida, Malvales, Malvaceae.